This 2916-nucleotide ribosomal RNA is filed under the name Vibrio parahaemolyticus. RNAcentral describes it as "bacterial LSU rRNA". It matches the Rfam family "Bacterial large subunit ribosomal RNA". Lineage: Bacteria; Pseudomonadati; Pseudomonadota; Gammaproteobacteria; Vibrionales; Vibrionaceae. The record is from RNAcentral.
GUUGUAUGGUUAAGUGACUAAGCGUACACGGUGGAUGCCUUGGCAGUCAGAGGCGAUGAAAGACGUAGUAACUUGCGAUAAGCCCAGAUUAGGUAGUAACAACCAUUUGAGUCUGGGAUUUCUGAAUGGGGAAACCCACGUGCAUAAGCACGUAUCCUUACCUGAAUACAUAGGGUAAGGAGGCGAACCGGGGGAACUGAAACAUCUAAGUACCCCGAGGAAAAGAAAUCAACCGAGAUUCCGAAAGUAGCGGCGAGCGAAAUUGGACUAGCCCUUAAGCUUUACACGCGUUAGACGAACGGUCUGGAAAGUCCGACGAUACAGGGUGAUAGUCCCGUAGUUGACGACGUGUGUUCAGUGAAAUCGAGUAGGGCGGGACACGUGAUAUCCUGUCUGAAUAUGGGGGGACCAUCCUCCAAGGCUAAAUACUACUGACUGACCGAUAGUGAACCAGUACCGUGAGGGAAAGGCGAAAAGAACCCCUGUGAGGGGAGUGAAAUAGAACCUGAAACCGUGUACGUACAAGCAGUAGGAGCAGGCUUUGUCCUGUGACUGCGUACCUUUUGUAUAAUGGGUCAGCGACUUAUAUUCAGUGGCAAGGUUAACCAUCUAGGGGAGCCGUAGGGAAACCGAGUCUUAACUGGGCGUUCAGUCUCUGGAUAUAGACCCGAAACCAGGUGAUCUAGCCAUGGGCAGGUUGAAGGUUGAGUAACAUCAACUGGAGGACCGAACCGACUAAUGUUGAAAAAUUAGCGGAUGACUUGUGGCUAGGGGUGAAAGGCCAAUCAAACCUGGAGAUAGCUGGUUCUCCCCGAAAGCUAUUUAGGUAGCGCCUCGGACGAAUACUACUGGGGGUAGAGCACUGUUAAGGCUAGGGGGUCAUCCCGACUUACCAACCCUUUGCAAACUCCGAAUACCAGUAAGUACUAUCCGGGAGACACACGGCGGGUGCUAACGUCCGUCGUGGAGAGGGAAACAACCCAGACCGCCAGCUAAGGUCCCAAAUUACUGCUAAGUGGGAAACGAUGUGGGAAGGCUCAGACAGCCAGGAUGUUGGCUUAGAAGCAGCCAUCAUUUAAAGAAAGCGUAAUAGCUCACUGGUCGAGUCGGCCUGCGCGGAAGAUGUAACGGGGCUAAGUAGUAAACCGAAGCUGCGGCAAUAUACUUUUGUAUAUUGGGUAGGGGAGCGUUCUGUAAGCGGUUGAAGGUGUGUGGUAACGCAUGCUGGACGUAUCAGAAGUGCGAAUGCUGACAUGAGUAACGAUAAAGGGGGUGAAAAACCUCCUCGCCGGAAGACCAAGGGUUCCUGUCCAACGUUAAUCGGGGCAGGGUAAGUCGACCCCUAAGGCGAGGCCGAAAGGCGUAGUCGAUGGGAAACGGGUUAAUAUUCCCGUACUUCUUACAAUUGCGAUGGGGGGACGGAGAAGGCUAGGUGGGCCUGGCGACGGUUGUCCAGGUUCAAGUGCGUAGGCUUAAGAGUUAGGUAAAUCCGGCUCUUUCUAAGGCUGAGACACGACGUCGAGCACCUACGGGUGUGAAGUCAUUGAUGCCAUGCUUCCAGGAAAAGCCUCUAAGCUUCAGAUUGUAAGGAAUCGUACCCCAAACCGACACAGGUGGUCGGGUAGAGAAUACCAAGGCGCUUGAGAGAACUCGGGUGAAGGAACUAGGCAAAAUGGUACCGUAACUUCGGGAGAAGGUACGCUCUCGACGGUGAAGUCCCUCGCGGAUGGAGCUAUUGAGAGUCGCAGAUACCAGGUGGCUGCAACUGUUUAUUAAAAACACAGCACUGUGCAAAAUCGUAAGAUGACGUAUACGGUGUGACGCCUGCCCGGUGCCGGAAGGUUAAUUGAUGGGGUUAGACUUCGGUCGAAGCUCUUGAUCGAAGCCCCGGUAAACGGCGGCCGUAACUAUAACGGUCCUAAGGUAGCGAAAUUCCUUGUCGGGUAAGUUCCGACCUGCACGAAUGGCGUAAUGAUGGCCACGCUGUCUCCACCCGAGACUCAGUGAAAUUGAAAUCGCUGUGAAGAUGCAGUGUACCCGCGGCUAGACGGAAAGACCCCGUGAACCUUUACUACAGCUUGGCACUGAACAUUGACCCUACAUGUGUAGGAUAGGUGGGAGGCUUUGAAGCACGUACGCCAGUAUUUGUGGAGCCGUCCUUGAAAUACCACCCUUGUAGUGUUGAUGUUCUAACGUCGACCCCUUAUCGGGGUUGCGGACAGUGCCUGGUGGGUAGUUUGACUGGGGCGGUCUCCUCCCAAAGAGUAACGGAGGAGCACGAAGGUGGGCUAAUCACGGUUGGACAUCGUGAGGUUAGUGCAAUGGCAUAAGCCCGCUUGACUGCGAGAAUGACAAUUCGAGCAGGUGCGAAAGCAGGUCAUAGUGAUCCGGUGGUUCUGAAUGGAAGGGCCAUCGCUCAACGGAUAAAAGGUACUCCGGGGAUAACAGGCUGAUACCGCCCAAGAGUUCAUAUCGACGGCGGUGUUUGGCACCUCGAUGUCGGCUCAUCACAUCCUGGGGCUGAAGUCGGUCCCAAGGGUAUGGCUGUUCGCCAUUUAAAGUGGUACGCGAGCUGGGUUUAGAACGUCGUGAGACAGUUCGGUCCCUAUCUGCCGUGGGCGUUGGAAGAUUGAAGGGGGCUGCUCCUAGUACGAGAGGACCGGAGUGGACGAACCUCUGGUGUUCGGGUUGUGUCGCCAGACGCAUUGCCCGGUAGCUAAGUUCGGAAUCGAUAACCGCUGAAAGCAUCUAAGCGGGAAGCGAGCCCUGAGAUGAGUCUUCCCUGAUACUUUAAGUAUCCUAAAGGGUUGUCGGAGACUACGACGUUGAUAGGUCAGGUGUGUAAGUGCUGUGAGGCAUUGAGCUAACUGAUACUAAUUGCCCGUGAGGCUUAACCAUACAACACCCAAGGGGUUU